RNAcentral lists this non-coding RNA (148 nucleotides) under Chlorocebus sabaeus (green monkey). The record is from Rfam by way of RNAcentral. Lineage: Eukaryota; Metazoa; Chordata; Mammalia; Primates; Cercopithecidae.
GCCGGGCAUGGUGGUGCAUGCCUGUAGUCCCAGCUACUCAGGAGGCUGAGGCAGGAGAAUCGUUUGAACCCGGGAGGCAGAGGUUGCAGUGAACCAAGAUCAUGCCCCUGCAUCCCAGCCUGGGUGACAGAGUGAGAUUCUGUCUCAA